Long non-coding RNA from Triticum dicoccoides, 745 nucleotides. RefSeq lists it as uncharacterized. The transcript is spliced from 5 exons. NCBI's taxonomy places the organism in Eukaryota, Viridiplantae, Streptophyta, Magnoliopsida, Poales, Poaceae. The record is from RefSeq and is a predicted model, not a curated record.
CCUCCACGACGACGCCUUCAUCCCUGGCAACACCCGGCAGCAGCCCACUACUGACAUCCCGGAGAAGGCGGCGGCUGCCAAGAAGAAGAAUGCGCCGACCAUCUACUACAUCACGUAAGAUCUGCUCUCAAAUGAACUGAAAUGAUGGGGCAAUCUUGCCAGCCAGGUUUCUUGGCUGCUUGUCUUGAAUCGAUUAGAUGAAUCCUGAUUGAUUUCAUUUCCCUUCAAAAAAUCCUGAUUAGUUUCUUGGUUCCAUUGUCUAUCGGUUGCCGGAGGACGCGCUGUCAGAUAACCCAGGUGGUCAUGGAGCUGUGCAAGACGAUGGCCAUCUUGGCCUCAAGGAAGCACUAUUGCAUCAAUAAGACCGUAUGCAUGGCUGAGCCAAUUGACGAGGAAUUGUGACAUACAAGACACAUAUAUUUACUAAUCAUUUGGGUUCUUAAUUGUAAACUAUUUAGUGAGACCUUUUCUCCAUCAGCAAGAAGCUUCUAGAUGACAAAGUUCAAGGAUGCCCAGAAUUCAAAAACUGAGUCAUCGUCCAUCCCUUCGGACCGAUGGCUGCUAUGAAGUUCCUGAUAUUGAGGAUCUUCCUAGGGUCGGAACACAAGUCAAAGGAUGUCCAUAUUUUGCUGCACAAACCAUGCAUGGCAAAAGCAGCACAAUUGAUUUUCUGCCCAUAUAGCAACCUAAUUAGUCCAAUUGUCAGGAGAGCAAUGGACAUUGAUAUCAUUGGCUCAAUUGUUAU